UAUUCUCUGAGGUGUGCGUGAGCAGGGAAGUCCCCUGAGCCGAUAUUUCAUACCGAUAGAAUGUGGUGCUCUGUUUCUUGUGAGCAUGCUUGGCCUGGACCAAGAAGCCUAAUAGAAACGACUCCACGUUCACCUUGAACCAAGGGUUCAAGGGUUACCACCUGCAACGGCAUCUUGGAGAACUC
Molecule: non-coding RNA, 185 nt
Filed under: Xenorhabdus beddingii
Lineage: Bacteria; Pseudomonadati; Pseudomonadota; Gammaproteobacteria; Enterobacterales; Morganellaceae
Description: 6S
Rfam family: 6S / SsrS RNA
About the family: E. coli 6S RNA was the first non coding RNA to be sequenced, but its function was unknown until recently.
Source: RNAcentral